RNAcentral lists this long non-coding RNA (214 nucleotides) under Manihot esculenta (cassava). Its description in RNAcentral is "long non-coding RNA (MESC_LNC000456)". Lineage: Eukaryota; Viridiplantae; Streptophyta; Magnoliopsida; Malpighiales; Euphorbiaceae. The record is from RNAcentral.
UCUCUUGUCACAGUAGAAACCACUUGACCCUUCCCUUUAGAAUCCCGUAGCUUUUUCUUGCCCAAGACAGGACGAAAAUCUUGUACCACUGGUGGAGUCGCAUUAUGUUCUAUAUGAGUCUCAGAAUCCUGGAGAAUAACUAGAGAACUAAAGGGAUUAUUAUUGGCCUUCAUCAUUGAUUUACCCUUGUUUGACUCCCUCGGACCAUGAUCAC